Molecule: non-coding RNA, 97 nt
Organism: Vicugna pacos (alpaca)
Lineage: Eukaryota; Metazoa; Chordata; Mammalia; Artiodactyla; Camelidae
Source: RefSeq, a predicted model, not a curated record
GUGAGGGGUAUAGUUCCAUGGUAGAGUGUGUUCUUGGCGUGCACAAGGUCCUGGGUUCAGUCCCCAUUUCCUUUAUUCAAAUAAAUAAGUAAACCCA